AACAUUAGUAUAUAUGCUGUAAGUGGUCGUGAUAAUCUUUAGCCUUUUACUAAAGAUUACCGUGGAGGGAUACAACUUAAAUGAGCUUAAACUAAUUUUUGGACAGCUGAUGAAUGAGUCC
Molecule: small nuclear RNA, 121 nt
Organism: Uloborus diversus
Lineage: Eukaryota; Metazoa; Arthropoda; Arachnida; Araneae; Uloboridae
Product: U5 spliceosomal RNA
Exons: 1
Source: RefSeq, a predicted model, not a curated record